This 301-nucleotide ribosomal RNA is filed under the name uncultured bacterium. RNAcentral describes it as "partial 16S ribosomal RNA". It matches the Rfam family "Bacterial small subunit ribosomal RNA", at positions 509 to 809 of the family's 1533-position model. The record is from RNAcentral.
CAGCCGCCGCGGGAAUACAGAGGGUGCAAGCGUUAAUCGGAAUUACUGGGCGUAAAGCGCGCGUAGGUGGUUUGUUAAGUUGGAUGUGAAAUCCGGGCUCAACCUGGGAACUGCAUCCAAAACUGGCAAGCUAGAGUAUGGUAGAGGGUGGUGGAAUUUCCUGUGUAGCGGUGAAAUGCGUAGAUAUAGGAAGGAACACCAGUGGCGAAGGCGACCACCUGGACUGAUACUGACACUGAGGUGCGAAAGCGUGGGGAGCAAACAGGAUUAGAUACCCCCGUAGUCCCUGUCUCUUAUACAC